This 319-nucleotide unclassified non-coding RNA is filed under the name Chytridiomycota sp. Its description in RNAcentral is "partial contains small subunit ribosomal RNA, internal transcribed spacer 1, and 5.8S ribosomal RNA". The stretch from base 1 to 47 matches the Rfam family "Eukaryotic small subunit ribosomal RNA", at positions 1785 to 1831 of the family's 1831-position model. Lineage: Eukaryota; Fungi; Chytridiomycota. The record is from RNAcentral.
AAAGUCGUAACAAGGUAACCGUAGGUGAACCUGCGGUUGGAUCAUUACAGAAAAGGAUACGGCCAGAGUUUGGCCCGCCUCCGGACUGCCUCCAUAGGGAGGUCCGUUGUAAUGGCAACAUUUUGUGAACUGUUCUGUCCCUGGCGGCCGGGUGAGGAUGAGGCCCAACAUGUCUGAGACUCUUCACCUGUCAGCUUGGUUAAGGCCAAGCCGUGGACAAACCGCCAAAUGUGUCCAUCAACAUUGAUAUACAACUAUCGUCUAAAGUCUCCUUUUAUUAAUACACAAACAACUUUUGGCAACGGAUCUCUUGGCUCUC